Molecule: ribosomal RNA, 253 nt
Filed under: uncultured bacterium
Lineage: Bacteria
Description: partial 16S ribosomal RNA
Rfam family: Bacterial small subunit ribosomal RNA
Source: RNAcentral
UACGGAGGGUGCAAGCGUUAUCCGGAUUCACUGGGUUUAAAGGGUGCGUAGGUGGGCAGGUAAGUCAGUGGUGAAAUCUCUGGGCUUAACCCGGAAACUGCCGUUGAUACUAUCUGUCUUGAAUAUAGUGGAGGUGAGCGGAAUAUGUCAUGUAGCGGUGAAAUGCUUAGAUAUGACAUAGAACAUCGAUUGCGAAGGCAGCUCGCUGGGCUGUUGCUGACGCUGAGGCGCGACAGCGUGGGGAGCAAACAGG